This 907-nucleotide ribosomal RNA is filed under the name bacterium enrichment culture clone 0-35H12. Its description in RNAcentral is "bacterial SSU rRNA". It matches the Rfam family "Bacterial small subunit ribosomal RNA", at positions 9 to 916 of the family's 1533-position model. The record is from RNAcentral.
GAGUUUGAUCCUGGCUCAGGACGAACGCUGGCGGCGUGCCUAAUACAUGCAAGUCGAGCGAAGGAUAGGUUACGAGCCUUCGGGCGAGGGACCUAUUACUUAGCGGCGAACGGGUGAGUAACGCGUGGGCAACCUGCCCCCCAGACUGGGAUAACAGCUCGAAAGGGCUGCUAAUACCGGAUGAGCCUCUAGUGCCGCAUGGUGCUGGAGGGAAAGCGGUUCAGCGCUGGGGGAUGGGCCCGCGUCCCAUUAGCUAGUUGGUGAGGUAACGGCUCACCAAGGCGACGAUGGGUAGCCGGCCUGAGAGGGUGGACGGCCACACUGGGACUGAGACACGGCCCAGACUCCUACGGGAGGCAGCAGUAGGGAAUAUUGCGCAAUGGGGGGAACCCUGACGCAGCGACGCCGCGUGAGCGAAGAAGGCCUUCGGGUCGUAAAGCUCUGUCCUAUGGGAAGAAGGAGACGGUACCAUAGGAGGAAGCCCCGGCUAACUACGUGCCAGCAGCCGCGGUAAUACGUAGGGGGCGAGCGUUGUCCGGAAUUACUGGGCGUAAAGGGUGCGUAGGCGGAUAUGCAAGUCCGAUGUGAAAGACUUCGGCUUAACCGAGGAGCUGCAUUGGAAACUGCAUAUCUAGAGUGCAGGAGAGGGAAGCGGAAUUCCUAGUGUAGCGGUGAAAUGCGUAGAUAUUAGGAGGAACACCAGUGGCGAAGGCGGCUUCCUGGACUGUAACUGACGCUGAGGCACGAAAGCUGGGGGAGCAAACAGGAUUAGAUACCCUGGUAGUCCCAGCCGUAAACGAUGGGUACUAGGUGUUGCUGCUGUUAAGGCGGCAGUGCCGGAGCUAACGCAAUAAGUACCCCGCCUGGGGAGUACGGCCGCAAGGCUGAAACUCAAAGGAAUUGACGG